AUUUAUAAGUGGUUUAUAAGAUGUUCAUUUGCCAUUCCUCUAACAUUGUCGCAUCAUUAACACGACAGUUAAAGGUUCUGCUCCUCAUUAACACAACCGUUAAAGGUUCUGCUCCUCAUUAACACGACAGUUAAAGGUUCUGCUCCUCAUUAACACAACCGUUAAAGGUUCUGCUCCUCAUUAACACAACAGUUAAAGGUUCUACUCCUCAUUAACACAACAGUUAAAGGUUCUGCUCCUCAUUAACACAACAGUUAAAGGUUCUGCUCCUCAUUAACACAACCGUUAAAGGUUCUGCUCCUCAUUAACACAACAGUUAAAGGUUCUGCUCCUCAUUAACACAACAGUUAAAGGUUCUGCUCCUCAUUAACACAACAGUUAAAGGUUCUGCUCCUCAUUAACACAACCGUUAAAGGUUCUGCUCCUCAUUAACACAACAGUUAAAGGUUCUGCUCCUCAUUAACACAACAGUUAAAGGUUCUGCUCCUCAUUAACACAACAGUUAAAGGUUCUGCUCCUCAUUAACACAACAGUUAAAGGUUCUGCUCCUCAUUAACACAACAGUUAAAGGUUCUGCUCCUCAUUAACAAUACAGUUAAAGGUUCUGCUCCUCAUUAACAAUACAGUUAAAGGUUCUGCUCCUCAUUAACAAUACAGUUAAAGGUUCUGCUCCUCAUUAACAAUACAGUUAAAGGUUCUGCUCCUCAUUAACACGACAGUUAAAGGUUCUGCUCCUCAUUAACACAACCGUUAAAGGUUCUGCUCCUCAUUAACACAACAGUUAAAGGUUCUGCUCCUCAUUAACACAACAGUUAAAGGUUCUGCUCCUCAUUAACACAACAGUUAAAGGUUCUGCUCCUCAUUAACACAACAGUUAAAGGUUCUGCUCCUCAUUAACACAACCGUUAAAGGUUCUGCUCCUCAUUAACACAACAGUUAAAGGUUCUGCUCCUCAUUAACACGACAGUUAAAGGUUCUGCUCCUCAUUAACACAACCGUUAAAGGUUCUGCUCCUCAUUAACAAUACAGUUAAAGGUUCUGCUCCUCAUUAACACAACAGUUAAAGGUUCUGCUCCUCAUUAACAAUACAGUUAAAGGUUCUGCUCCUCAUUAACACAACAGUUAAAGGUUCUGUUCUAGGAGUUGUAAUGAUGAAUAGUUUUUCUUUUAUCUCCCACUCCUUCUCUUCCUCCCUCUCUUUAUUCCUUUCUCUCCCCUGCCUCUUCACCCCCUCUUCCUCAUGUCUCUCACCCCCUCUUCCUCAUGUCUCUCACCCCCUCUUCCUCAUGUCUCUCACCCCCUCUUCCUCUCCGCUGGAAGGUAGUGUCUGCUGGGAUCACACACUUCAUGAGAGGGAGAGAGAGAGAGAGAGAGAGAAAGGGAGAAAGGGAGCUAGAGAGAGAAAGGGAGUGAGAGAAAGAGAGAGAGAAAAAGAGAGAAAGGGAGAGAAAGAGAAAGGGAGAAAGGAGAGAAAGGGAGAGAGAGAGAAAGGGAGAAAAAGAGAGAAAGGGAGAGAGAGAAAGCAUUUCCUCAGCGUGAGCUAUAGUGAGAUAAGACCGAGAGAGGGAGAGAUAAGGGCGGAAGAUGGGAGGAGGAGAGGGGGAAUGGGGGAAGAUUGAUGAAUGCACUGCACACUCAGGCUCCUGGAGCGAGGGGGGGGCAGACAGGGAGGAGGACGGGUGGAGAAAGAGGAGAGAGAUAGAGACGGGGUAGAGAUGGAUUGAGAAAGAGGCUGAUUGACUGGCAAGGAGAAGAAGGGCUGUUCUUAUCCUUUCAACAAAGUAAUAAUCUGAGGGACAGUGUGUGUGUGUGUGUGUGUGUGUGUG
Long non-coding RNA from Oncorhynchus keta (chum salmon), 1826 nucleotides. RefSeq lists it as uncharacterized. The record is from RefSeq and is a predicted model, not a curated record. Lineage: Eukaryota; Metazoa; Chordata; Actinopteri; Salmoniformes; Salmonidae. The transcript is spliced from 4 exons.